GGAUAACACUUGGAAACAGGUGCUAAUACCGCAUAAUAGUCGACACCGCAUGGUGUUGAUUUGAAAGACGCUUUCGGGUGUCACUGAUGGAUGGACCCGCGGUGCAUUAGCUAGUUGGUGAGGUAACGGCUCACCAAGGCGAUGAUGCAUAGCCGACCUGAGAGGGUGAUCGGCCACACUGGGACUGAGACACGGCCCAGACUCCUACGGGAGGCAGCAGUAGGGAAUCUUCGGCAAUGGACGAAAGUCUGACCGAGCAACGCCGCGUGAGUGAAGAAGGUUUUCGGAUCGUAAAACUCUGUUGUUAGAGAAGAAUAAGUAGGAGAGUAACUGCUCUUACCUUGACGGUAUCUAACCAGAAAGCCACGGCUAACUACGUGCCAGCAGCCGCGGUAAUACGUAGGCGGCAAGCGUUGUCCGGAUUUAUUGGGCGUAAAGCGAGCGCAGGCGGUUUCUUAAGUCUGAUGUGAAAGCCCCCGGCUCAACCGGGGAGGGUCAUUGGAAACUGGGAGACUUGAGUGCARAAGAGGAGAGUGGAAUUCCAUGUGUAGCGGUGAAAUGCGUARAUAUAUGGAGAGAACACCAGUGGC
This 590-nucleotide ribosomal RNA is filed under the name uncultured bacterium. RNAcentral describes it as "bacterial SSU rRNA". It matches the Rfam family "Bacterial small subunit ribosomal RNA", at positions 141 to 716 of the family's 1533-position model. The record is from RNAcentral.